AGAACGAACGCUGGCGCCGUGCCUAAUACAUGCAAGUCGAGCGGACUUUGCCUUCGGGUAAAGUUAGCGGCGGACGGGUGAGUAACACGUGGGUAACCUGCCCAUAAGACCGGGAUAACAUUCGGAAACGAAUGCUAAUACCGGAUACGCGAAUCGGUCGCAUGAUCGAAUCGGGAAAGGCGGAGCAAUCUGCCACUUAUGGAUGGACCCGCGGCGCAUUAGCUAGUUGGUGGGGUAACGGCUCACCAAGGCGACGAUGCGUAGCCGACCUGAGAGGGUGAUCGGCCACACUGGGAUUGAGAGACGGCUCAGACUCCUACGGGAGGAUCUUGG
RNAcentral lists this small RNA (333 nucleotides) under uncultured bacterium. RNAcentral's name for it is "bacterial SSU rRNA". It matches the Rfam family "Bacterial small subunit ribosomal RNA", at positions 26 to 355 of the family's 1533-position model. The record is from RNAcentral.